Molecule: long non-coding RNA, 1081 nt
Organism: Caretta caretta (loggerhead turtle)
Lineage: Eukaryota; Metazoa; Chordata; Testudines; Cheloniidae
Source: RefSeq, a predicted model, not a curated record
GUAAAGGGUUAAGAAGCUAGGAUAACCUCACUAACAUCUGACCAAAAUGACCAAUGAGGAGACAAGAUACUUUCAAAGCUGGAGUGGGGGGAGGAGAAACAAAGGGUCUGUCUGUCUGCGUGAUGCUUUUGCCGGGAACAGAUCAGGAACGCAGCUCAGAACUCCUCUAAAAAAUUCUUUCAGUCCAGUUUCCAUCUAACAAGUCCUCUGCUGGAAGUAUCUUUAAUAUGGCAAUACCCAGAGAGAGAGACAACAACUCAUUCACUGAAUGGAAACACAGGUCUGUUUAAUGAAGAUUGUAAAUGGUCGUUUCACCUGCAAAGCAACCCUCUGCUCUCGUGAAGAGAAAUGCACCCGAAACCUACUGGAAAUAGCCUGGGCCCAAAAUGAUAAAAGUGAAUUGUGUGGAGGGAAGAGCAACAGUAUAUGAGCAUCAAGGAUUUCUCUUCAUGCAUCGAAAGCCAGGGAUUUUAACAGGCUCAAAUGAGUUAAUGUUAGAAACAACUUCUUUGCUCACCCUUCAAAAUUUCCAGAAGUUUGCUCUGAAGAACACUGUCAAUUACAAAGGUUUCUUUACAAAGAUUCUGUGAAGCUAAAAUUUAAUCAAGCCUUAAGAGAUGGUCUCAGGAAGUUUGGAAUAAAAGAUCUCAGGUCAAAGAUGAUCUCGAUUAAACAUUUUCAUAUCACUUUUCCUGUUCUUCUAAUUGUGAGAAAGUGUCUGUUGUCUAAAAUCCCUACAUGAGAAGCACUUACUCCUAAUUAAAUCUCAAGGGGGGGGGGGGAAACUAUGUUAAAGUGGAAGUAAAGUUGACAUUACAUAUUGGUAAUAAAGGGUAAAAAUUUUACAGGAAUGUUUGAAUUUCCUGGAUUUAUAAUACUUAGUUUCAGAUAAUCCCUGUAAUGUUUUUUAUCCUUAAAUUACUGGCACACAUGCUGAACCGUAACUCCAUUUUAACAGUUUUUGGUCUGGAGCUUCUCUAAUUUGUUUUUUAAAAAUUAAGAUUUCAUACAAAAACACUUAACAAGAAACCCAAAGGGAAUGCUACCAUGUGAUAUUUCUAUUAAAGUUGCAUACUAUCAA